GGGCUGGUCAUUAGAGACAGGGUCUGUCUCUGUCACCCAGACUGUAGUGCAGUGGCACCAUCAGAGCUUACUAUAACCUUGAAUACCUGGGCUCAAGCCAUCCUCCCACUUCUGCCUCCCAAACUCUGGGAUUAUAGGCAUGAUACUGUUCCUGGCCUAGAGUGUUGAUUUUCAUUUUUUCAGGAGUCAUUCAAAUGACUGUGAUAAUUCUGUCUUAGAUUCCCUAUGAUUAAAGAAAAAACAAAUGAAAAAAUAUUACAUUUUAACCCAGGCAACUUCAGUUAUCUUAAAGCUAGAGAACUACUACAACCCAGUUAUACCUUCUAACUUUUUACUGUUAUCAGUUAAUUAUAGGUUGUUACAUUCCUGUAUGUAUAAUACUCAUCUUUAGCAUUUUCUUUAGAAGUCUAGAAUGACUAGACAUCAUGGCUUUCUUUUCAGAUUGCAAACUGACUUUCUAAAAUGUGCCAAUCAGUCCCUGUUAAAUUAUAGUUUAAACAAUAAAUUUAGCUUUAAACGGAAUUCAACACAUUGGAAGUUUUGUUUGAAUUUAUCUCAACUAGCUUGAUUUUAAUUCUUCACAAACUACAUUCCAUAAGGGAAGAAAUAAAUACUAAAACCCUUUAUGUAGAAGGUGAAUAUUUGAAUAUCAUCUCUAUUUAACAAAAUUUGUUUCUAGUACCUUUUUUUUAUUGUUGACUGCAGUCAUAAAUGUGUGUUAUUCCUGUUCCCUAAAAUGUGUUGGUUUUAGUAUAAUAUGAGGCAUAUGGAGAACCAUUUAAGAAGAAUGUAUCCAUCCACUAUGACAUUAGGUUAUUUUCUACUCUAAAGUUAGUAAACUCUAUAUGGCAUACAUCAAACAUUUAAAAAUUAUCAUUAGUGAGUCUUUGGGAUUACUGAGUUGCCCCCUUGGGGUAUAUGAAAAGUCCAUAGGCAACUUAUGAUCAUUUUAAGUAAAAGCAAGUCACCUUAAUCUUUUAGGGAGAACCAAAUAAUCUUUAAGAUCCUUUCCAGCUCUAAACUUUUAAAGUUUAUGCUUAUUCUAGAAAUAGAUUUCAUAUAUUAAAGAGACGUGCAUCUUGCCUAUUUAGUUAUUUUUCUUUGUCCUUAGUUGUUGGACAUCAAAAGUAAAAUUUGGUAGGUGAUAGAAAAAAAAAUCUGACUAAAUUAAAGUCUCACAAUAAAUUGGUAGCAGAACUAAGCAUGAGAAUCAGUUGUACUCCCAGCCUUCUGGUCCUGUACUGUCUUUAUAUUCCACUUAACACACACACAAAGGAGCCUUUCUCUGGAGCUCUAUAUUUUAAAAUAUCUGUAGUGGAUUGAAGACCCUGAUUGUAAGUCCUUCAUCAAGGCUGUCCCAAUGAUCAGGGCACACUGACUUCAAUCACUAACCUGCACCUAAGUUGGAUCUAACCUUUGGAAAAGCCUGAAAGAGCCAGAGGCAACCUAGAACCAGUCUGGGCCAUGAAAGUGAAAGGAGUAGUAUGCUUCUGAUCCUAAGUGCUCUGUGAAGUGAAUUAUUAGAGGUAAGUUGAAUAAUUGUACUAAAAAUAAGAUUUCGGAGCAGCUGGUGGGUGUUCACCCAUGGGGUGAGGGGGAUAGAGCUCUAGUAUGUAAGCAUCUGGAGGCAUCUGGGAGGAGUGGAAAUGGGGCCAUCUGAUUAGUAACUAUGCCUUGUUAUUAAACCGUGACUUUCUGCAUUGUGUAUUCCCAGAGUUGGAAAACUUCCGCUGGCAAAAAAAAAAAAAGGGGCUGCCGUGCUGUUGCUGAGGGCCAUACAGUAGACACAAAAGCGCCUUCUUAGAGGCCUUCAGCAGAGGCAGCUUGUACAGGCAGGCCUGUUCCUCUCAAAGACUGGGAAUCAGAUUCUUUCCCCAGGGGGUUUCCAACUAGUUUGCACUUCAGAAAAACCUUUUCUUUCUCCUGCUGUUCACGCCCUGCAAAGAAUUUUCUUCCAACCAAAGAAAUUGUUUUAUAAUCAGAGAUCCUUGUCCUUAGUUGUUGGACAUCAAAGAAAGUUUGGAGGAGUCUGGGGGAUUAAAUGAGUGCCUAGAAUUUAUUUUGAAUACAAACUUGCAACAUUAGCAAGUCCCCCAAAGAAUAUACUCAUCUCAGAGCUGGGCGAGAGCCUAAUAUAAGUAAGUCUUUCUUCUUCCUCGGUUGGAUGUGCCCCAGUAAGAUACAAAUGAGUUGAACUGCCUUAUCUGGACUUAAUUCAUGUAUGUUUGGUUCUUGAGGUACACACCUACUGGAAGAGGUCCCCUAACCUAUCUUCCUUUUUAAAAACUGAUAUUUGGAAACAUCAAACACUAUUAAUACACUUGAAGCAACAACCAAAAAAAAAAACCAGUAAACAAAACCCUUUUUAAACUAAUGUUUGACUCUUGGGAGUUUGGGGUUUCUCCCAGGACAGUUGAUGAUAUCACCAAAUGUUGGGAGCCACAUUCCCUGCAUUCCCUACUGUCACUGAGGUGUUGAUGAUGUCAUUUUCUCCCACAAAGGAAAACCUCAGCACCCUGAGGGCCUGAACUCAGGUCUUGGCAGGUAAAUCAAGGAAGAACUUAUUUUUGGAUUUCAACUGAUUGAGUCAGGCAUAAAGAGACACAACCACCACGUUAAGUAUUAGCAUCACAGCCUCAUCUCUAGGGCCUGAAUAGACAAUUUAUCAUUUGAAGGAAAUUAAGACUAUAACUUUAAGAAAUUAUCUUCUGGGUAAGAACAAUGAUUCAUGUAAUAUUUUGGUUCUUACACUUUGGGACAUUUAUAGGGCAUUGUUCUCAGAGAUUUUGGCCCCGUCCUUCUCUGAAUCCACAAAUUUUCCAAGCCCCUCUGGAACCUGUUUGUAGAUUAUCUAGCUUUCCUUCCUCAAGCAGAUUAACAACGUAAAUAAGAAUUAGGGGGGAAAAUGAUGGAUAGGGCAGAUUUAGGCAGAAUUAUGCCUUUGGCAAAGUACAUUCUUGUUAUUUUAUCUUGGUUCUGUGGUUAUGAACUGAAGAGAGCAUUUGCUCUAGAAGAUUUCCAAUCUCUUCUCAUCCCUUCAUCACAACCACAGAGUAGUGGUUGGAAAUAGGUUCCAGGAACACCAAAAAUGCUCAGUAUUUUCAAUGGUAUCAGCUAACAGUGUCCCAACAGGGAUUCUUUGAGCACUCUUCCUCUGAGCCUUCUUGUGGUGUCCUUGUGGUCAGGAGACAUAUCAUCAAUCACAAAGACUUGCCCUGGAGACAAACCUGGUGAAAAAUAUCAGUUAUCUGUCUUCACCACUAGAAAAAAUCCUUUUUUUUUCACUGGUUCUGAACAAACAUGCUAUAUAGUUUUUUAGAGAAAGAUCAUCUCUUUCAUGGAAUCAUCAACUGACCACUCUCAAAAUUUGAGAUGCACUAGUUUGUACUAGGAAGGUAAGGUAGGAUCUGUGAGGUAAGUAGGAUUUACCAAAGGUUUUUAUUCUACUCAGCAGUGCUAAUUUACCUGUGUUGCUCCUAUACAGGUAUUAUAUUAUAGGUUUUUUUUUUGUUUUUGUUUUACAGUAGGAAUAUAUGGAUAAAAUUCACUGAAAUGAAAGUGUCCCUUUAGCUUAUAUAGGGAAAUAGGGAAUUGAAUUUGUAAGGAAGGAGCCCAGCCUGUACCUGACCUUUCAUUUUCAUAGUCUUUUUUUCUCCUGAGUUGAUGUAGGCUUAAAGCAAAUGAAUGUAUUAUAUAAAAUGCCCUAGUUUUUCAAGCAGUGUCAAUCUUCAGAGUAUGGAAUAGGAUUUGGCAUUUUGUUUCAAUUUUUAUUGUUUUGUUUUCUAAAGGGAGGUUUGAGUUAGAGCCUGUCUGGCAAGAUUCCAUACUGCUACCAUACCACCUGUCCUGGCAGAGACAAUGGAAUCAAAAGUCAAGUUCUUUAUGACUGCACCUGCCUUGUAAGUGCUGCCAGAAGAUCUGAUUUUCUCUUGUAGCUAAACUUUAUGCAGAAACUAGUGGUUGGCACCCAAACACUUGGAUAUCCCAACAUCAAGAGGACUAGUACCACUAGUUCUCCAGCUGACUUACAAAGUAGUGUUUAGCAUAAUAUUCAAUGAUUAUUUAUCAAAUGGAGGAGAAGUAACUUUCUGGUUUACCUAGUUUUCAAGACUUUUGUGAGGAUCUAUUAAUAAACAUGAAUCAUUUGGUAAUUAUUAUUUGAAAACUGCCUGUGUAGUUCUGCAUCUAGAGAGCAUGAAAGAGUAUAUUCUCCCCCAAAGAGAUCAGGCACAUAUCUCUGAAGUCAGACCACUAUGCAAAGUUCCUAAGGUGAGAAGCUGCUGUUUCUCCUGUUGCUUUUUUGUUUCCCCAGAAAUGUAGGUUACCCUACAGUCACCAAGCAUUGCCUUGAUGAGAACUUUUUCCUUAUGAAUUAUCGGAGUGUUUCUUGGGUUCCCUCAGGGCAGAGUUGCUUCAUUAUCUUCUAACUUAUGUAUAACUGGACACCUUCUGGCCUAAGAACAUAAUUUCUAUCACCAAUCAAAUAAUUAAGAUAAUAUACCCACCAAAUGGUGCUCUUUGCACAGAAUUCUUUUAUAAUGAUAUAAUAUGAUAAUAAAGUAUAAAAGGUAUUCUAAAAUGAGGAGCAGCAUCCUACAGUGAAAAGUGCUCUCAGUAGACUUGUAUUUUAAUCUCAGCACAGAUCCUUCUUAGCUUUAUGAUCUAAAGGAAAAUUGCUUAACCUCUUUGAGCUUGUGGCUCCCUGAGUAAAAUGGGGAUAAUAGUAAUAAAUGGCCUGACUACCUGAAAUGAAAUAAUAUAUGAGUGUUGUCUUUGAAAAUAGCAAAUUAAGGUAUUACUAACAGUAAUUAAACUUGAGCUACUCCUUAUUCACCUAAUUACUAUCACAAAUAUUACUAAGUGUGAAGGUUAUUGAUUUAGGCUCAGUUAACCUAUUUGCAUUCAAUUUGACAUCAGCCUAACAUAACUAAGCAAGACUGUAUUUUUAGUGUAGCUACAAGGACAAGGCUUUAGCUUCAAAAUUUUGUGGGUCAAGGGUGCUGAUUAAAUACUACCACAGUGUAGUACAGGUAGCCUUAGUGGUUUAGAGAAUGACUACUAGUGUAUGAGUUCUGUCGGGGGAACUUAAGACCUGUUACUGCUUUGCUUGUGGUACGGUGAAUCACUUCUCUGCCCUGGACCUUUGUACAUGUGCCUGUUCAAUACUGGUAACCCCUCAUUAGAUUCCUUCCAUGAUCAAUGACACAAAACAGCUGCUUUCUAAGUUUUUACUUAUCAGAAUCUGAGGGACCCUAGAACCACAUUAUAAUAUCCCUAUUAUAUCUUCCCUUUUGGAAAUUUUAGAGUAUUUUUUAGAACUGCUGCUACUGGCUGGGCACGGUGGCUCACACCUGUAAUCCUAGCACUUUGGGAGGCUGAGAUGGGCAGAUCAUCUGAGGUCAAGAGUUAGAGACCAGGAGUUAGAGACCAGGCUGACCAACGUGGUGAAACCCCAUCUCUACUAAAAAUACAAAAAUUAGCCUGGUGUGGUGGCACAUAUUAUGUCAUUAUAAAAGUAGCUGAGUAAUCCCAGCUACUCAGGAGGCUGAGGCAGGAGAAUCGCUUGAACCCAGGAGGCAGAGGUUGCAGUGAGCCAAGAUCACGCCCCUGCACUCCAGCCUGGGUGACAGAGUGAGACUUUGUCUCAAGACAAAAAAAAUUGCUGCUACUCUGGGAUGGUUGCUCAGGAUGCAGCUUCUGGUGUGUAGCUUGCAGUCAUGUUUCUAAAGACCAGAAGGGAAGGAGUUGAGGGUGGGGGACUAAUUUACCCAGUUCAUUAUACUCUGCUGGUCCCAACAUGUUUUUUGAAACUUAGCAGAUACGAUUCUAUUGCCUGCUUGGAAAUUAUCCCACAAGUCUCUGAGACUCCAAGUUCCCUAUCUGAGAAGAAUUGGAUCAAAGUAAGAAUAAGCAGAGUUUUCAUCAUAGCAUCUAUCAAAUAUUUGUGUCCCUAAAAAAUUUUCAGGUAAAGACCACCCUUUGAGCCUUCUCAGAGACUACUAGUCUGCAGUAUGAAAAAAAUCUGUAUUCAGUGUUUUGUAACUUUGCCAAUUUGAAGUCUCUUCCCAAAAUAAGUAAAUAAUGGGAUAAAGGUAAUUAUGGGUUUCCUCUUCUUUUCUACUUACCUGUUCCCUGUUAUGAUUAAAUACACACAGCUUAUAACUCUUUUGGAAACAAACCGAAAUACCAUUAUUAUCCUUUCAACACUUGCAUGGUAUUAUAAUUCAUUUCAAUCACCAGUACAACACAGUGUUUGUUAGGAGACCAGUGGGGUGUGGGAGGGGGAGGACCAGGAGAGGAGCAGACAUUUUCCUUUUUAUUGGCUUUGGGAAGCCUCCUUCCUCUCCCAAGGCACUUCUUGGGGAAAACUGUUUUCUUCCCAAAGCCUAAUAAAGAUUAGUAAGAGACCUCUGCAAAGAAUUAGAAGCUCUUUAAAAUAAAGGCAUGGAUAACCAUUCAAUAUCACUGUUAUUAUCAUUAAAAAGGAAAGCCCAGCAUGUGAUGUUUUGGGUCACUUCCAGCGGCCUUGUUUGAUGUUCACGGUUCCUUUUUUGACCUUUACUUCUUGAUAUCUUUAUAUAUUUAUUGAGGCUAUUGGACAAAGUCUUGAGAUACUAAGCAAUACAGUGAAUGAUUGCUAGACUCCAUUUUUAUGGGUUGAAUUUGUUAAAAUGUGUUUUUGUCUUUAAACAACGAGAUACCUCGUUCCAGUUUGGCAAUAUUGGUGGCAAGGUUAAUUUAAUACCUGGUCACUUUUUAGUUUUUAUUUCCUAUUCUGUACCUUACCCAGACCUAAAGUUCUAUAGGAUACUUUUCAUUAAAUAAAUCAUAAUUAACUGGAUUUUUUUCUGUACUAUGCUUAUUAACCAGAGAUACAUCAAAAAAGAAGCAGAUCCAAUUGACCUAAAAAACAAAUAAGAACUUCCCAGGGACGUUGUAAGUUUAUCCCAGUCUCUUAUACUUUAGUAUGUAAAUUAUCUCAUGCCAAAAAUGACCAUAAUGAUGUCCUCGUAGUGUUAUAAGACAUGAAGUAAAAGCUUCCUUUUGUUUGACAUGAUGUAUUUAGGCAGAAAAGUGUACCAAUACAUUUAAAAAAAGAUUUUAACAGUGCAGAUUGAAUUUAUAAGGACUUCCUUGUCUUCAGAAAGGUAAAUAAAUCACUGUCACCCUAAAAGGAAGAAGCUGAGGCAAAAUUAAUAUAAGUAGAGAGUUUAUUUGAACCAGGUUGAAGGAUUACAACUGCGGAGCCUAGAUUCAAGUUGCCCUGAAUAUACACUGAUUGGCGGCAGUUACAAGUGGAUUUUGAAAGGCAAAAAAGAGGGAUAGGGAGUGGGGCUGAUACAAAGUUGUUUGUCAGAAAUUCUCAUUGGUUUACAGAAAUAACAUUGAUUAGUAAUGGCUAUUCAUUGUUAAGCUACAGGGUAUGGGUUAUAGUGUCUGGUGUGGCAUUAUUAGAUUAAGUUAUAGCUACUUGUGGCAAUAGCAAGCAGUUUCAAGAGAUGAAUAACAUAGCCCAAAGCAGGGAGUAGGACUUGAUUGCAGUCUCAUUGUAAUGUCUCUCUGGGCCUGAUAAUUAAAAGGAAUUACAUUCUUCACAUAAAAGCUAUUUUCUUUUCUCAUCACAAACUUUUCUUUUCUUUUUUUUUUUUGAGAUGGAGUUUCACCCUUGUCACCCAGGCUGGAAUGCAAUGGCGCAAUCUUAGCUCACUGCAACCUCUCAGGUUCAAGUGAUUCUUCUGCCUCAGCCUCCUGAGUAGCUGGGAUUACAGGCACCCACCACCAUGUCAAGCUUAUUUUGAUAUUUUUUGGUAGAGACAGGGUUUCACCAUGUUGGCCUGGCUGGUCUCAAACUCCUGACCUCAGGUGAUCCUCCUGCCUUGGCUUCCCAAAGUUCUGAGAUUAAAGGUGUGGGCCACCAUGCUGAGCCACAAACUUUUAUUAUUAUUUAAUGACCUGUGUUAAUCAGAAUAUCCUAUUCCAUAACUGGCAAUUGUAUUUGAGAAUUAGGUAGAAUUAUCUCUUUUUCUUUUAAUAUUUCUGGUCUUUUGAGUGUGUAGGGUUGCUCUGUUUCAUAAAAAAGGGCACAAUUUCAUAAUCCUAGUUGAUGAAUCGUUUCACAUUUUAAAUGGUUAUCUUAUAAUAAAGUUUGCUUGUACAUACACACUUAUUUUUCUCCCUCUAGGUUUUCAGGUUUUUUUCCCCCAAUUUCUACCCUGAUUUCUGCAUUCCUACACACACAGAUUUUUUUUUUUUAAUUUCUAAGCUUAACUCUCAUCAAAUAAAGGUAAGCUAGAAAAUCAAAACCCUGAAUCUUUUCAUCAGAACCAAAGGAACUCAGCAAGUUCUGAAGGAGAUUGAAGUUGAAGAUUGUGUAUGUCAUACCAACCACUGAUAGAGAAUUAUUUGAAAUUAACAUCAUAUUUGAUUUUAUACAAAAGCAACUACCAUGAAACUACUAUGGUUUUGUGUGUGUGUGUGUGUGUGUGUGUGUGUGUGUGUGUGUAUAAAGGAUAAAAAAAUGUUUGGGUUAGAAUGAAUAUAUCUAUUGUAUAGAAGAUAUAUAUUCCAUAUUGUAUAUAUUCUCUAGAGAGAAUAUUCCAAAUGCUUAUUUUCAAUUCUUUAGGGGAAGCUAUUAACUCUAAACAAAUCUCAGACCAGUCUCUAAAAUUAGCUCCCUUUGGAGACCCUGAAGCCAAAUUAAAUAUCUGGCCUUUGAAAUUUUGCCUGUUGAGAGCAUGGCCACAUGUAAAAUGGAUAACCUUAGGACAGCACCCACUCUGUUUCUUUCUCCCUCAAGUCCCCGCUUCCACUCAUAAUUUCAGUUAAUUGUACUUAGUAGUAAACAGUUAAGUCUAACCUCCUCACAGACUGACUUCUUUCCCUCUGUUUCAGCCUUGUCUAAAUUCAGCAUGUGGGAUCUGAGUUGCUUUCUUUUUCCUGUUAAGUGGUUGCGUGUUCAUCUCUCCUCACUUGUGUUGACUACCUUGACUCUUAAGAAUUUUAAUCUACAUGAUGGUCCUUCUGUUUUUUGUCUCUCAUUUUCAUUUUUGGGUUAUUUAAAAAUCCAUGCCCACUGUCAAGUCAAAUGUUUCUUCUAUCAACAGUUGUUAUCUCUGUAUCCUCCAUAUUAUGUUGGUCUUUUUUUUUUUUUUGAGACGGAGUUUCACUCUUGUUACCAAGGCUGGAGUGCAAUGGCAUGAUCUCGGCUCACCGCAACCUCCGCCUCCCGGGUUCAGGCAAUUCUCCUGCCUCAGCCUCCUGAGUAGCUGGGAUUACAGGCACGCGCCACCAUGCCCAGCUAAUUUUUUGUAUUUUCAGUAGAGACGGGGUUUCACCAUGUUGACCAGGAUGGUCUCGAUCUCUUGACCUCGUGAUCCACCCUCCUCGGCCUCCCAAAGUGCUGGAUUACAAGCUUGAGCCACCACACCCGGCCAUGUUGGUCUUUUUUAGGUUAGGAUUUUGAUGACCAGGCCUGUUGCCUCCUAUGUCAUAUGCUACACUAGAUUCACUGUCUACAUUUCAAUAAAUGUUAUAAAAUAACCAUCAUUUUCUUGAAUAAGCUGGUAUAUCGCUGCUUGUUCCUCUGGAGACAGUUUUCUGCAGGCUACAUUAACAGGCAAUGGAAAUGCAUGCCAGGCUACAUGCUAACAGUUGUGUCUUUCCAUCAGAAAAACAUCCUUUUUUUCCCCUCCCUGUCAAAUAAAGGCUUAGGUGUUAGAGACAAUUGCAAAAUACAGAAAAUGAACAAGAAGAACUGAAAUCACAGCAUCUGUGGUUUUCUCUAUCCUUAAUAGUGAGGCAGCUUCUUAAGAGGAUUUGAUUGUAAUAUAUUGAUAAAAUGUUUAUAGUCAUCCCUUUGCAGUUCGUUUUGAAAGUAGUUUCUGAGCAGCAGUUCCUGCAUCAUCUAGAAAACUUUUAGCUAGAGAAACCACAUUUCUUUUUCUCAAGGUGCAAAACCAGUUUACUCUUUUUUUGAGUUUAACACCUGAUCUUAAUGGCGAGGGACUAAGUUACAUGGUCUUUCUUCCAAAAGAAUAUUUCUCAGAUUUUUGUGUUCUAUAGCUUUCUGAUUAAAUUGCCUAAUAAUAGAACUAUUUAUUACUCACAGGGAAUUCAGUCACAGAGAACUGUGUCUAUCUAGGACUUCAAGUGUACAUAAUAAUAAACUGUUCCUCAUAAAGGGGUUGGGGUAACUUCAUAGCCAUUGCUAUGGUAGUAGAUUUGGAUGCAUCUGACUAUGGAACCAGAUCCCUGAUCAGAAAUAGUUGAGUUGUGUAUACAAUUAAAGCUAGGGAACUUAUCAUCACAUAAUAUUGCCUUGUAUUGACAAUCAUCCUUCCAUUAUCUUUGGGUAAGUAAGGCAUGCUUAAGACAGACCAUUUGGCUGUCUCAAAGCCAUCGCCUUCUAUUUUUUUCCCAAAGGAAAUUCAGAUCCUGUUUAAUAUUUGCUAGUUUUGCUAGGUACUGAAGGCAGAAAGAGGUUGUAGUGGUAUCUUGUGAGGAAGGAAAUCAGUGUUUCUUUUUCUUUUUUUUCCCAACAAACUGUACAUGUUUAAUGCCAUGGAAAUCAGUGUUUCUUAUCCAUUUUCCAUAUACUGUCAGUCUGUCCAAGCAGACUUAUUAUGUGGCAAACUGAUAAGGAACUUUGUUUUCCUCUUGAUAUACUUGCCUGCACAGCACCAUGUGCCACUUUGGAGAGCUCUGUGGUGGAGUUUCAACUCUCUAGAUAAGAUGGAAUAGCUGAACCGUUGUGCCUCCAUGGAUUUUCACAACCCUGAAAGUAACGAGAGUUUGGGAGGAUGAAAGAGGGCUAUUUCCCACCCACCCUGAGAGUCCUUAAAGUUCAAAGCCACAGAUUGUGUUUCAGUGGAGCCAAGGCAUCUGGAGCAGCCCAGUUACUGGAGAGGUAACUAUUGCAGGCACCCUUCCUGUUGCUAUUCUCUAAAGUAUUUAUCUAGGUGGCCUUUGCCCUUCCCUGUGAAUCUUCUCCUCAAGUCCCUCUACCCUUUUGUUGGCCUGCUUUGAACUUCUUGUGCGUUAAUCUCUUUUACAAACUAAGAUGUCUAAGCAUAGGAUAGGAAGUGCUCCAGGUGUACUCUCACCCAUACUGUGUGAGGAUUGUUGAACUAUCUGGUUUCUCAUAUUUCAGAACUGCAGUGAUAACUAAGUUCUUACUUUACUUGAUUUCUUCUAUUCCUCUAAUAACUUUCUAAAUUAUUUCUCUUCAUUUACAUAAUUAUCUAUGCUGUACUUUUCUUCAUUAUUCUAUUUGAUAUCAAGUCAUAGAUACGCCAAAGGCAUGUUGUCUUCUUUCCUAAGGCUAUCUUCUAGAAGAGCAUGUGGCCAGAUUCUAAGAGAUUCUCUGGAAUUUCUUCUAAAAUUCACCAUCGACUGAUAGGGUUUCCUUUUCUAGUUUUCCCUCUCAAGCUUAGCACUGACUUACAUUCUUUCUUUCAUUUCAUUGCAGCCAAGAUUUCUAAUUGUGUCCUAAAAAUUAAACUGAACUCUUGUCUUUCCUCAGGAGAGAAGGGUAUCCCCCAGUAGACAGGAGUCUAGGGGAUGUUGAGAGCGCUUCUCUGAAGCAACCCAACCACAUGCAAUUGUGUUUCUCUCUUCAGGGCAUUGCCUAAGUAAAAUGUACAUGGGUUAUGAUCUGUUGUAGAAAUCAAUUACAGUGAAUCUCAGAUAUCAAAUUAGUCAGUUCCUUAACUACACUGUAAUUAAAAUAGUACAGUUGACUCUUGAACAACACUAGGUUGGGGCACUGACUUUCUGCACAGUCAAAAAUCUACAUAUAACAUGACACCCCUAAACCAAUUGUUAAUAGCCUACCGUUGACUAGAAUACUUACUGAUAACGUAACAGACUAACAUAUUUCGGAUGUUAUGUGUAUUGUAUACUGUGUUACAAUAAUAUAAGUUAGAAAAAAGAAAAUGUUACUAAUAAAAUCAUAAGGAAGAGAAUUUUUUUUUUUAAAGAUGGAGUUUUGCUCUAGUUGCCCGGCUCAAGCGAUUCUCCUGCCUCAGCCUCCCAAGUAGCUGGGACUACAGGCAUCUGCCACCAUGCCCAGCUAAUUUUUGUAUUUUUAGUAGAGAUCGAGUUUCACCAUGUUGGUAGCUGAUCUUGAACUCCUGACCUCAGGUGAUCCACCUGCCUCAGCCUCCCAAAGUGCUGGGAUUACAGGCAUGAGCCACCACGCCCACCCCGAGAAAAUGUAUUUACUAUUCAUUAAGUGAAAGUGGAUCAUCAUAAAGGUCUUCAUCCUCCUUGUCUUCACCUUACUAGGUUAGGGAGGAAGACAAGGGGUUUUCUUGCUCUUUCAGGGGUGGCAGAGGCAGAGGACAAUCUGUGCAGUUCAAACUCGUGUUGUUCAAGGGUCAACUGUAAUGUCAAGUGUACCUUCUCCUCAAAGUAGAUAACCCAGAGAAGAGUCUUUUAACAUGAGAGCCUAUCCCCCCACUACACAGGGUGGGUCACCAGCUGCUCCAUAAUAGCAACAUUAUGUCCUAACCAGCAAGUUAGGACAAGAGAAUAAAACCACCAUAUCCAAUUGAAGCUUCAAGGAAACGCAAGGUAAUAAUGAUGAUUAUAUUCACAUGUGGAUAAAAGAGCAUGAAUUACAUUAUCUCCAAAGUUUUUUUGAGAGCAUUGUGUGCUAAGUUAUAUGUUGUCUUCUAUAUUAGGCCAUGCAUGGAGAUAAAAAAGCCAUAUAACUCCCCCCUCAAGUUUCGAAGACAGGUAUUCCCCUUUGAGAGAGUUGUUGUAGUGAUAAUAGUUUUGGAAUGAGUGUGUAACUGUCUUACAUAUUGACUUUAGAUUCAUAUGUCUUAGUUGUAGGGACUGCCAUUUAUUUCCCUUCCAUAUGUAGUCAGAGGCCAAUAGGCACUUAAUAAAUAAGAAGUAAAAAUUACUAUCUUCCUAAGCUUUUCCAACAUUAUUUGAUAAGUUCAUUUUUUGGUCAUAAACUAUUUUGCUUCCCAUUAUAUCUCAUGAUUAAUACUAAGUAUGAAUUCGUGUGAAAAACAUUUUGAUAGUUCUUAAACAGAUGCCAUUUAGUCUCUUGGGAUUCACCCCGAUAAAGAGGUAUUUUCUUAGCUCUCCCUACUUUAUUUACUAUUAUUUUUGAAGUUGCCUGCUCUGUCCUAUCCUUAAGGUGAUAUUCUUUUACAAAUUGUGUAUAACCCUUGGGGGAAAAAUAUACUUUCCUUCUUCCUCUGAUCACUGCCCCAUAAUAAUUAGUCCAUUCUUCCAGAUCCUCUGUCUUAUGGGCUGCUUGUUCUAUUGUAUGGUGUAGAUUUCUGUUUCAUCUUGGGGGUCAUUUCUCUAACCCGAUCCUUUAGCUAUCAGCUGCAAAGACUCUUGCAUAUACCUACUAAACUGCUUCAAAAGGAGUCUGGUUCUGCUGGCCCAAGUACUGACCUUGACCCUCUCCCCAGUCCUGAAUAGUCCUGGAAACUCAGUGUCCUCAGCACCUAAUUCAUGCUGAUCCUCUGACUUUCUUGCUUGGCCUCUGGAGAGAGAGAGCACAUUCUGAACACUCCUCCUUUUGUGUCGGCGUCUCUGUGAGGUGCUUUGGAAGGACUCCAGCCAGGCAUGGAAGGGCUCUUUGAUAAUAUCUGAUGGGUGGGUAAGAAUUUCAGGCACCUGGCCAAGAUACACAUUGCCUGUAAUCGUUAACUCAGCCUGUAAACAGUUCAAACGGCACUGAGAGGCCGUCAGUUAUUACAUUAGAAGAAGUCUUUCAUCUCUCUUGCUCAGAAGCCAGGGCGUCCAGCAUUGGCCCCCACUGUAGUAAUUGGAGCCACAGUAGUCUGUGCACAGCCACCAAAGCCCAAGACAUGCAGGGACACACAAUGGAACCUGCUCCGAAUGACUGACUUUCAAACUUUCAGCAUUAGAGCAAUAACUAAAUCAUUAAUUUCCUUUUGUUCUGCACCUGGCUGAUGCUGGAAGGGAAGAAGUGUAUUGGGUAGUGGGGAAUGGGGGUGGCAGUGGAGAGGUGGGAUCCCUGACCAGGAAUAAAUAGUAGCAAAGGAAUUAUCUUCUGGAACUGGAAAUUUAAUUUUUCAGCUCAAUUUUCCAGCACACACUCGUGUCUGAAACUUCACCCCUCACCCUUUUUAUUUGUCCCUCUGCUUCACAUUGAUCUUUCUAAGUUUGGUCCUCAGUGUACUCCAUAUCUCCAGUUGGCCUCACAAUUACUCAGUAUUACUAAACCCUCGUGCAAGGCACAGUGCUGGGCCCCAGAGAGAGCCUAGAGCAGCAUAAGAUAACAAACAUUCCUGCCCUCAAGGUGCUUACUAAUGGCGUCCUUCAGAUACUCUAGAUAUAUACUAGAGAACUCUACCUUGAGAGUUUACAAUACAUGCUAAAUAAGGUAUGCAGUGAGUUUCUGCAGGAGUUUACACUGAGAACAGCAGUGUGGACAGCAGUGAUCAGAGAAACUCCAUUCCAUGAAAAACAAAAGUUUCAAUCCUUUGUUUAAAAUUUGCUUCUUUUCUUUUAUGUCUCUCACCCAUUUUCUUUUGCCUUUUUCAUUAAGUUGCUACUUUGGCUAUACAAUAUUGAGUAUUCUAGGCACUUAGUAAAUGGGAUCAUUAAACCUUUGUUAGAAUUAGCUGAGGAGCUAGAAUUUGAGUAUUCUGGUAUCAAAGGAUGGUGCAGGAAAACCAAGUACAACUUAUUAUAAGCAUCUUAAUUUCAGAAGACCUUUUCUGAUUACUAUUUCUAAAGAUGUUCAGAUAGUUGUAAGGCCCCUGUUGCUGAAACAGUUUAGAUUAGGCCACAGGUUUUAAACUGCAGGUAAAAUAAAAUCCUACACUCACCAGUGUUCAAGGUGAGCAUCAAAGUUCCAGGUUUUACCCUUUAUACCAGAAUCCCAAGUGUAAAGCAGCUAGACUCUUUUCCUCUACAAAACAAUAUUUGAACAUUUGCCUCACUGUUUUCAACUAAAGAAAAAUGAUAGGGCCAUGAGACAUUCUUCUAGAAUUUUUUUUUUUAAAAAGGAUCUGCCUUAUGUAACUUGCCUGGUGCCCAUAUAACUUAUUACUUAGAAAGCUCUGAUCUCAUGCCUUCUGUUUUCUUUGUUUUGUAUUCCAUUUUGCUCAGCUUUUGGGGCACCCUUUCAUUCCAUUUACAUAUUUUGGAUUUGGGGUUUGUCUCAUUCCCAACAUCCAUGUUUUCUUGGCUGAUUCUGAAUGUAGCUUUGGAGGAGCAUGGAUAAAAUAAGAGUACAGAGCUUGAGGACAUGCCACCCUGCAGCCCAUGAUGUGUUCUGCUUCUGAUUUAUCAACUGCAGAGAUAAGCAGUAUAUUCCUUUCUUUCAUCUAAGACGAGUAAUACUUUCUUCCAUGGGAAAAGCAGUAGUUUUAUCUUAAAAAGAAAUUAGGUCCUUUGGAAGAAUUGACGCACUAAAGCAAACGAAAUUAAGUUUCGUUACCAUUGUGCCCAACAUUGUUAUUUGUUCAUGGUAAAUAGGAGGGUAGUUAUUUGAAAGCAUGUGUUAGGUCAUAUUUAUGUAGUAGAAUUGUAGAAAUACCGCAUUUAUAAGAUGAAAGAAAGCUUUGAAGCUUCUGCAGAUGUUUCGGAGCCACUCAAUUCAAUGUCCUGGUUAAUACUGAAAUUAUGCAAAUUUAAUACGAUGGGGAAAUAAGGGAGGAAGUUUCCCUGUUAUUCUACCUGAAUGUAGAGUCUACCUUUUGGGAAAUGACCAGUUUUGCAUAUUGGCCUCCUACUCUGGUGGUUUUCAGUCUACAGGUAGAUAGUAAGGAAACUACCUAGGAUUGUUUUGGUCCCUCUUGAUCAAUGGUUAGCAAAUUUUGGCUUAUAUCAGAGUCAGUUUUAGAAAGGUUGUCCCUCAAACUUCAGUUCCUACUUCAAACCGCCUUUAAAAUUUAAGUGUUCAUCUCUCCUUCAGUAUAUCAAGACUGACUUAAAUUUUCCCUACUCAAAACUAACUGCUUUUUCCAAUUUCCCCAUUUUGUUAAUGCAACAUCUUUUCUCCCAAUUCUCCAGGUUUAGAACUUUUAACUCCUCCAUUUCCUUCAUCCUUGUACUACAAUCUCUCAAAUACUUUCAACACUUCCUUCAUAAUUUCUUUGAUUCAUUCCUCCUUUUAACUAUUACUACCAGAGUUCAAGUUCUCAUCAUGCCAGUACUAGAUUACUGGAACACUUCUCUAAUUGAUUUUCCUACCACUAGUUUUCUCUUCAUGGCACUAUUUUACUCUGCUACUAAAUUGUUCUGCUUACAGUAUUGUUUUGAUCAUGAGAUACCCUUAAGAACUUAGGAGUAUUCCUUUUUUGCAUAUGAGAGCAAGUGCUGACUCUCAUCUUGGCAUGCAGUAGCCUUUGUAAUUUGAUCCUACCUCAGCUAUCCAAACUAUCUUUGCAGAUCUAUUUUUUUCAGUCAGACAAGUCUUCCUGUACCUUGAAGACUUGAGAGAAACUGCUCAAGAACCUUACUUUUUCUCUCACCUGGCUCCUGGUUUCUUCUCAAGUAAGCUCAUUUCAAAAAAUCCAUUUGACAGAUGCCAAUGGACUGGAUCCUGUGGCUACUUUUGUCCUGUGCAAAUUCUGUCCUCUUUAAAGGAGAGCUUAAUAUCCAUAUCCUUGACGAAUCCUGUAGGACUUAUUUGGCUGUACCACACAAUGUGGCCCUUGAUACAACAUUUUGUAUCACCAUUUACUUUGUGUAUAUGUUAUCUUCCUAGUAAGACUGUACCUCCUGGGUUGGACCUAACAGUUUUGGGAACAAGAUUGGUGCUCAUCAAAUACUUCCCAAGUAAGAGGCCAUAUUUCAGAUCCAUUCUGAUGUAUGUAUGAGGGAAAUCUCUGUGCAUCCCCAUCCAGCACUGUACUCAGUGAUCACAAGAAGUGAGUCUUCGUUUCUUGACAAUGAUCACUUGGGAGCCAUUGAUCUGCCCUGUCACAAAGGGUUUGGGGGAAACUGUAGUGGCUGUCAUUUUAGCGAGAAAGAUGGCUCCAGAAACAGGUCUGAUAAUACCCAGACAAGGAAUCAACUUAGUGACAGACAGCAACUCUAGUAGUUAGGUAUUUAUUUGGCUAGGAAAGGGGCUUAGCCUCUGAAGUAUUUCAGAUAGCUGUUGGCUUAGCAAUUAUAUAUGCUGCUACUUUCUGAGGUAAGCCUGCCUAAAAACAAAAGUAUGGCCUGAUGACUGGGUGGUUACUCCUGUACCCUAAGAACUCAUUUAUAGGCAUCUGCACAGAGGUACCCACCCGAACAAACAUUAAGAAGAAGCAAAGGAAAGUGCCUGAAGCAUAGUCACUGUGUCAACAGAAAUAUCAGAUAAGGUGGUUUUUAUGGAGGGGGUGUGUGUGGUCGGGGGAAGAGUUGAUGCACCUGUGGUUGGUGAUUAAGAAACUUGGUGCCACAUUAUAUGGCACUAUGAAGCCACCUUAUGUCCCAGCCACUCCAUGGUGGCUGAUGUAAUAUAAUUACCCAUUUGCUAACCAGGCCAAGAGGAAAUGUAUUGGAUAAAAGCCAGAGUAAGAUCGUUAUAUCUUAGCUGAGCCAUUCAGACUAUUCAGAACUUUUUGGAUCUCCUUUUGUUUCCAGUGAGGGCCUUGUAGUUGUUAAUCUAAUAGUAGUUGAUUUUUAUAGGUGUCUUGUACUUUGGUUUUUUUGUUUUGUUUUGUUUAUUUGUUUUUUGGAGACAGAGUCUUGCCCUGUCACCCAGGCUGGAGUGCAGUGGUGCAUGAUCUUGGAUCACUGCAACCUCCACCUCCCAGGUUCAAGAGACUCUCCUGAUCUCCUGCCUCAGCCUCCCAAGUACCUGGGAUUACAGGUGCCCGCCAUCAUGCCUGGCUAAUUUUUGUAUUUUUAGUAGAGAUGGGAUUUCACCAUGUUGGCCAGGCUGGUCUGAAACUCCUGACUUCAAGUGAUCUGCCUGCCUUGGCCUCCCAAAAUGCUGGGAUUAUAGGCAUGAGCCACCAUGCCCAGCCAGGUGUCAUGCACUUUGAUGUACCCAUUCCUAAGACAACUGUGUUCUCAUGUAAAUGUAUUCAGAUGAGUUCCCAUGGCUCGCACAAGCUGCCAAAUUAUGGUAUCUCCUCAAGCAGGAACAGGGUACAGACAAUUCCAUUUGGCUGAACUAGGACUGGACUUAACCCCAGACUGACUCAGCUUCUCUGUUAACAUUGUUUGAAAUUCUGAUAUCCCUCCAGAGGUUGUUUAUAAAGAGUGCUUAGUGUGAAGUAAGAACCACAAAGAAAUGGAGCAAAAUGGACCUGAGAGACCAAAACCUCUCAUUUUCAAUAUUAAUUUAGCACACAUUUAUUGAUUACCUUUUAUGUUAGAGCAUUGUGCUAUGUGGGAUUAUAAAGAAACCCCUGCCCUCAAUUUAGUAAGUAAGAGUAUAGGCCAGGCAUGGUGGCUCACACCUGUAAUCUCAGCACUUUGGGAGGGCAAGGCAGGAAGAUCACUUGAGGCCAGAAGUUUGAGACCAGUCUGGUCAACAUAACAAGACUCUACCUCUAUUUAUUAAAAAAAGAAAAUAUGAAGCAGAGGGUGACAAUUACCAUACAUAGAUACAAACAGGAUGUUUGGGGCAUUUCAGAUGAAGAGGAAGAGAUUGUUCGUGGAAGAGGUAAGCAGAUGAACUUGCCCUUGAAGGGCAUACAGGAUUUUAAUAAGCCACAGAACAGGAAUAAUAGGUAUUCCAAAAGAAUGUGAGAGAAUAGUGAGAAAUUCAGUUUGAUUUCACAAGUAGUAUGGUGCAUUGGGGAGGGGGUGGGGAUGAAACUGAAAAGGUAGAGGAGAAGGGAAGGAGCACAUACUUGUGAGUGAUUACUAUGUGCAGGAAGUCCUGGCACUUUAAAUAUGUUACUUCAUUUUAUCUCUGCAAUGAUCUUCUUGGAUGGUGUUUUUUGUUGUUGUUGUUUGUUUUUAGAGACAGGGUCUUGCACAGGCUGGAGUGCAGUGGCACAGUCAUAGAUCGCUGCAGCCUUGACCUCCUGAGUAGCUGGUACUACAGGCAUGUGCCAGCAUGCCCAGCUGAUAUUUUUUAAAAUUUGUUGUAGAGAUGGGGUCUUGCUAUGUUUCCCAGGUUAGUCUUGAACUUCUGGCCUCAAGCAAUUCACACAUUUUGGCCUCCCAAAGUUCUGGGAUUACAAGCAUGAGCCACCAUGCCCAGCCUCCAUUUUUAAAAGGAGACUUAGAGAGGUUAGGUUACCCACAGCUUGUAAGUGAUAGAGUUGAAAGGUAAAAUCGACUUGAAAUUUAAUACCAAGUUGUCUGAUUCCAGAGUCAGUACACAGCACUGAAGCCUUGAUUUGAUAGGCUAUGGAGUUUGAAUUUAAUUCAGAAGACAGUGGACAGCCAUUGAUAGUAUUUGAACAGGGCAAUGAUAGGAUCAGCGCUAUGUUUAGGAAGAUUGUUCUUGAAAUGAUAGAGAGCUUUAGAAUGGUGAGUGACUAAAGACUAGUUAGAAGUCUGUUGUAAUGGUUCCAACUCCAGAGACAUAGAAAAGGUAGGUAUCCAAAGACUAGUGAUGGCUUAGUCUUUGCAAUUACUAGGAGGAGGAAUCAUAAUGACUAUGAGGUGCUCAGCCCAAGUCUCUAGGAAAAUGAUGGUGUCGCUAACUGAUAUACGUAAGUUAAAGCAGGUUAUUGGCUUAGGGCAGAGUGCAGGGAGAAUGUGAUAUUUAGGUUUGGUAUAUUUAAGUUUGAGGUAUCAGUAUGACUACAGAGAAAUAAUGUCUAACAAACAUUUUGAAGUACAGAAGAUUUGACUUCAGAAACCAAUUUGGGAAUUAUAAUUAAAGAUACUGGAGUUAAUAAAAACCUCAGAAGAGAGAUAAUAGAGAUCAGAGAAUACAUCUUUAGGAAACAUACAUAAAUGAGAGGGAGAAGAAAAGAAGAGGGAGAAGAAAAGAGGAAGAGGCAACAAAUGAGGACAAUCAGAGAAGUGGAAGAACUAGAACAGUAUUAUGUCAUGAGCAACACGUGAAGAGUCAAACUGUAAUCACUGGGUCAGAAGUAAUUUAGGGCUAUUUGUCUUGCUGUAGCCUCGAUCCCUUUCUUAGGAAACAACUGACACCAUUACGUUCAAACACAUUCGUUUUUCUAUUUCAACUCUGUUAGGGAGGAAAUUCAGCAAUCAGGAAAGAAAACUGUUUUCCUGUUAAAGAUGUGUUUGGUGGUCACAUUUUUCACUUAAGCUAGUGAGAGCUGUCAGCAAAAUACAGUGCCAUUUUGAAGUAUUUCACUAUGUCAUUGGAGGUUUAGUUCCCAAGAAAGCUCUUGUAGUGUCCGUGCUUCUGCCCUUUUGCUCUGAGCUUCUUCCUGUGAUUUGUCAAGUCUCCCUUCAUUAGAUUUAGAACCUGAAGUUGAUGCCCAGAACUCAGGUCCCAAGCCCAAUAUGCAUUGCAUUGUCUCUUCAAGACUUAGUUACCUAAUUUGCAAAAUGGAUGGUACUAAUAAAGGGAGAAUAAAAUAGCUAAUGAAGGAUGAUAAAGCACUUUGCUAAUAUAAAAUGCAACAUCAAAGCUGAAUAAUAAUCUUAAUUUAGGGUGAAGGGUUCCAUUAGCAGAGUAAAAAUAAAAAGGACAAAGUGUAGUGUUGCUUUGUACCUUGAUAACAGUAUAUAAAUCAAAAGUGCUGCUGUUGAUCUUCAUUGCCCUGUGAACUCUCAACCCAGGAAUUUGGCUCCCCUCCCUAACUGUCUAAGUACUUCCCUUGCCCACUCAGUCUGUUGAUGGCACCUCCCUGAAUCUCCUGACAAAUACAAACAGGAAAUUCUCUUCAGCAGAGCCAGCUUGCUAACUGUGAAGAUUCCUUUUCCAUUUAUCAGCACUUAGAUUAUCUUUUUGUGUCUCUUACUAUUUGUGCCUAGCAAGAAAAAGAGGUUUGAACAAUUAAGAGGUAACAAAGAGCUCAUAGUUCACAAAGAGCAAGUCAAGGGAUGUCUGGAAUAUUUGAACAUACAACUGCCUUUAGCGUGAGGUGGCCUACAUGCAUUCUCAGGGUCAGAGUAGGCUGGAGAGCUGAUCAAGCUGCCAGGAAGCUGAAGCAAAGGCAGGGUGGUGGAAUCAAAUGUUUCUUCAACUGAAGUCUUUAAAACUUGGGCUUCAGCCAGCCACAGUAACUCACACCUCAAAUCCCAGCACUUUAGGAGGUUGAGGCGCGUGGAUCACUUGAGGUCAGGAGUUCAAGACCAGCCUGACCAACAUGGUGAAACCCCAUCUCUACUAAAAAUACAAAAAUUAGCUGGGCAUGGUGGUGAGUGCCUGCAUACCCAUCUCCCAGCUACUAAGGAGGCUGAGGCAGGAGAAUCGCUUGAAUGUGGGAGGCAGAGAUUGCAGUGAGCUGAGAUCACGCCAUUGCACUCCAGCAUGGGCAACAAAAACUCUGUCUCAAAACAAAAAAACUUGGUCUUCAGCUGGGUGCAGUGACUCAUGCCUGUAGUCCCAGCCCUUUGGGAAGCUGUGGCAGGAGGAUCACUUGAGGCCAGAAUUUUGAGACCAGCCUGAGCAAGAUAGGGAGACCCUGUCUCUACCAAAAACAGAAAUCUAAAAAAUUAGCCAGGAUUGGCGGUGUGCUCCUGUAGUCUCAGCCACUCGUGGGGCUGAGAUGUGAUCCUCCUGGGAUUGGGGCUGGGAGGUCCAGGCUGCAGUGAGCCAUGAUUACACCACCACACUCCAGCAUGGGUGACAGAGUGAGAUCCUGUCUCAAAAACAAAGAAAAACAAAAAACUUGGGCUUCAGAUACAUCCCCUUUUCAAGGAAUAAAGGAUGGAGAAAAAAAUGUAAUUUGUCUUUCAUCCCACCAAAGGUAAGAAAAAUCCACUCAGAAAAACUAUGGAAUAUUAUUGGGAGUGAACUGACUCUAAGUUUUCCCAGAACUUUUCUGAGCAGAUCUCUGGGCUGAGUCCUCAUAAAAUUUUGGUAGGGACUGAAGUUCAUUGCAGACAGCUGACACUAUGGCCUGAAGCCAGUGGAGAACAAGAGUUUCUCUCUGUCAAUAAUGCAGGGAUUUUUUAAAAAAAAUUGUUUGUAAUAGUCUCUAAAUGGCUUCUCUCAAAAAAUAACUUCUCAUUAAAUUUGGGAGAGAGACUGAAGGGCCCAAAAUGACAAGAGAGUACUUAUAAAGCAAUACAGCAAGAGCAAAGUCGUCCACCCAUUCAUUCCACAUUCCCCCAGUCUUUACGUGCUGUGCUCUGUGUAUUCCCAUGCCCUGUAUGUUGUUUGAUGAAUGGCGUUAAGACCCUGUGCAUUGAGCAUGUGUAUACACUGCUGUAGCCUACAGUCAGGUGUUACUCGCCUGAGAACAGGAUUCAUUCCUCUGGGGUGGGAGGCUGUUGCUUUCAUCCCCAUUCAGGGUUAUGCAUAACUCAGCAGCACAUUGAUAUUGAGAGGAGACAAUAGAAGAGUAACAGGCUGCGUUAUUCAACAGGAAGAUUCUCUGAAAAGAAGUGAGUUUUUUUCAGGGUUGUGGAGGAGAUCUGGGCAUGAUAGUGAAAAGGAAAAAAGAGAACUCUGCCUUGUGAUGAAGUCAAGAUAUGCUAAAGAUGACUUUGAAACUGAAACUUACAGGGAGUAUACAGAAAGUUUCUGAAGAGAAAGCAGAACUCUGAAAAUAAUCAUAUCCUGAUAAAAUGACAAGGCAACCACCAGAUUUAUUUUACCUCACAUCUGUUUAUUAAAGCAGAUGAUUCAACAUGCAUUUUUCUUAGCAUCUACUGUGUGCAUGGCAUUAUAUAAGUGAUGAAUAAGACCUAGUCCCUGACCUCAAGGAGCUCAGAUUCUACUUUGCAGGGAGGAGGAAAGAACUAAUGUUUUAUUGAACUAAGAACCAGGCAUUCUGCUGGAGGAAAUAGGUAAGAGGGUGGGUCACAACAGAGCACUGACCCACAGUAAGAGGUAAGUGUCAUUUAAGAAUUUUGAAUAAAUGGCUUUAAGGGAACAUAUGAGGGAAAGUGUUUAAUAUUGGGGACUGAGGGCUGGUCAAAGGAUUAGAGAAGGGCUAAAUUUGGACUGGGAUGGGGAGUCAAGGGUAAAAAGAAGUAGAGAGCUAUAGGAUUGGAGUUCUCAAGAGUCUUUGGCUCACAGAGGAUAGAAGAGGUACCUUUUUUUUUUUUUCUCUAUAGAACCAAGAAAAUAGGGAAAUGUCCACGGGAAGAGAAAAAAUAAAGAAUUUGGCAGAUAACCAAACUAUCUUCCCAUGAUACAUUUUCUGUAAAAGACUUCUUAGGAGCUAAGAGUGUUUUUCUGUCUUCAUUCUCUUUAAUGCCUAGAAUUCUGCCAUAAAAUGCUAUUUAUGUAUCUUACUUUUUAGUUCCUAGGAGUGCAAGAGAUGCUAAUAUUAGGAAUUUCUAAAGUAUUCAGAGGAUGGAAAUACCAGCCGGCAGCAAUGCUGAGAUAUCCAGGCACCAUUCAUAGCGACCCAGUGAAAUGCUGAGCCCCAAAUGGCAAUCCCUCUCAGGCUUUCCCAGAGCCAUCUCACUUUUUCUUUUAUCCCCUGCCUGGAAGGCUAUGCUGUGGGUGGGAAUAAAAAUCCACUCUCCUGUUGCAUCUAGGCAGCUGCCAGCUGUCUGUUUGCCUUGUUCUUUGCUGGCAAAUCAUUAAACAGUCCCCCCAAAGCAGGCCUCUUCCCUAGGGUCACCCCAUGGACAGAGAUUCAGAGCUGUGGUCAAAGGGCUGUCAGCAGGCAGGCUGGAGCCCUUGGGCUAUCUCCAACACAAGCCCUUCCUGGCUGCUGCCUCUUCUGAACAGAAGCCUCCUUGGCCUAAUGUCAACCCCCCAAUGGCUUCUGAGGAGAGACUCUGGGCAUCUGAGUUGGCUGGCGGUUUGAAUAAUUUUAUUCUUUUCCUCCUGAAGUAAUUUCUCAGUGCAACUACCCCCAUGAUGUCUUUAUUGUUUCUUUAUUGAAGCCCAGGCCCAUCCUCCACAUUUUUUCCACUUUGCAGUAUAAAUACAAUAUUGUGUGUUACUGCCCAGGAGCUGGGGACUGGGACCAGCCGAGCAAACUUCAGAGUUUCAUCCCAUCCCCACUUACAUUGUGCCAAUGCAAAUCUGAGUGUAAGAUUUCACUGAGCCAGUCCAGUUGGAGAUAGUAUCUGCCCUCAAAGGGCUUAUAAGCUCCAGGGCUUGCAGGUUGUGGAAGACAGUAGAAUGGAGCAAAGUUUGCAGGAUACCUUAAAAUCCCUAUAGCCUCUGAGCAGGAGACUAAACCUAAAAGACCUGGAAUAUGUGUGAAGUAACCAUGUUAAUGAAGCUAUUUCCCACUCUUGCAAUGAAAUCACCAAACUUAGCAAUGCUCAAGUAGCUCUGCUGGUAGUCCAGAUGGGCCUCUGGCAUGUUUAAACAAAUGAUCUGGUUUCC
Callithrix jacchus (white-tufted-ear marmoset) is the source of this 24340-nucleotide non-coding RNA. The record is from RefSeq and is a predicted model, not a curated record. Lineage: Eukaryota; Metazoa; Chordata; Mammalia; Primates; Cebidae.